This 312-nucleotide ribosomal RNA is filed under the name Triticum aestivum (bread wheat). RNAcentral describes it as "partial small subunit ribosomal RNA". Lineage: Eukaryota; Viridiplantae; Streptophyta; Magnoliopsida; Poales; Poaceae. The record is from RNAcentral.
AUGCUAAUGAUAUGCAAAGCUAGCCACAAGCUUGGGGAAGCUAUGUUUGAUGAAUAUGAUAUUUUUUGUCCCCCAAGUUUUGAUGAGCAAAUUUAUUAUGAUGAAAGCAUGCCUCCUAUUUAUGAUGAUUAUAUUAAUGAAAGUGGAUUUGGAGAGGUCAUGACUUUAUUUAGUAAUGAUUCCACUAUUUCGGAAGAGGUUCCAAUUGAUUAUGAGAACAAAGUUGCUAUCUAUGAUGAUUAUUGUGAUGACUUGUAUGCUAUUAAAAAUAAUGAUAACCAUGAAACUUGUCAUCUUGAUUUUAAUUUUUAA